CGUAAAGGGUGCGCACGCGGAUAAUUAAGUUAGUAGUGAAAGCCCCGGGCUCAACCUGGGAAUUGCUAUUAAGACUGGUUAUCUAGAGUAUGUCAGAGGGGGGUAGAAUUCCAAGUGUAGCAGUGAAAUGCGUAGAGAUUUGGAGGAAUACCAAUGGCGAAGGCAGCCCCCUGGGAUAAUACUGACGCUCAGGCACGAAAGCGUGGGUAGCAAACAGGAUUAGAUACCCUGGUAGUCCACGCCCUAAACGAUGUCUACUUGCUGUUGGGGGUAACCUUAGUAGCGAAGCUAACGCGAGAAGUAGACCGCCUGGGGAGUACGGUCGCAAGAUUAAAACUCAGAGGAAUUGACGGGGCCCCGCACAAGCAGCGGAGCAUGCGGCUUAAUUCGACGCAACGCGAAGAACCUUACCAGGGCUUGACAUCUACAGGAAUAUGGCAGAGAUGUCAUAGCCGCAAGGUCUGUAUACAGGUGGUGCAUGGUUGUCGUCAGCUCGUGUCGUGAGAUGUUGGGUUAAGUCCCGCAACGAGCGCAACCCUCGUUCUGUGUUGCCAGCAUUAAGUUGGGGACUCACAGGAGACUGCCGGGGUUAACUCGGAGGAAGGUGGGGAUGACGUCAAAUCAUCAUGCCCCUUAUGUCUUGGGCUGCACGCAUGCUACAAUGGCUGGUACAAACGGCUGCGAUACCGCAAGGUGGAGCGAAUCCGAUAAAGCCAGUCUCAGUUCGGAUUGGGGUCUGCAACUCGACCCCAUGAAGUCGGAGUUGCUA
This 769-nucleotide ribosomal RNA is filed under the name uncultured bacterium. RNAcentral describes it as "bacterial SSU rRNA". It matches the Rfam family "Bacterial small subunit ribosomal RNA", at positions 559 to 1337 of the family's 1533-position model. The record is from RNAcentral.